This 85-nucleotide transfer RNA is filed under the name Pseudoalteromonas sp. RNAcentral's name for it is "tRNA-Leu". It matches the Rfam family "tRNA". From Rfam's summary of the family: Transfer RNA (tRNA) molecules are approximately 80 nucleotides in length. Lineage: Bacteria; Pseudomonadati; Pseudomonadota; Gammaproteobacteria; Alteromonadales; Pseudoalteromonadaceae. RNAcentral also lists the same sequence under 73 other names. The record is from RNAcentral.
GCGGAUGUGGUGGAAUUGGUAGACACGCCAUCUUGAGGGGGUGGUGGCUUCGGCCGUGGGGGUUCAAGUCCCCCCAUCCGCACCA